ACUAAAUCUGUCUGUAGUCCCUUCUACGUGUGAGUACAUCAAGGACUCGGUUGUCACUCAGUCUCAGAUGGAUCUUUGCUGCCUCCUUGUCCUAAUUUAUUGCCUCAAAGUGCUAGUUUGGUUGGUGCUGGCUGGAGCUGUCGGUGCACAUGGAGAUGGUGCUUCUUCCCAGGUGCUCCUUACAAACAUGGAAAGUUGCAGGAGCAGCUCGGUUCUUCUAUCCUUACAGUGACCCUCAGUGCCUGUGGUGUGACAUCAGCCUGUCAGAAAGCAAAGGAGACUCCUGGUCAUGCUGAGUGAGCUCAGAGCAUGGUCACCAGUCUGGUUUCAUGGGCCAUCUGCAGGAGUUAGGUCUGAGGGCCUAAAGAGAGGCAAACUGAAGCAGUUUGGUGGACACGGAUGGGAGAGGGAUCAAGCAGUGCUCAGUCUCCUCUUCCAGUGCCUGUUCCUGUCCUGUCCAGCCUGCAAGAGCAGACAGAAGAGAUGGAAUGUGUGGGGAGCUCAAAUCCUCAGUGAUAAGCCUGGAAAUGCCAUCUAGGACAAAUAAGACUUGCAGCUGUGUUGUGCCUGACAUCUCCAGGCUGAAGGAAUUUUGGUGUAGGUUCUGGAAAGAAGCAUUAGGAAAGAGAGUCAAUCCCUUGAUGUAGGUGAUAAUUGUGCAUCCUUUCCUAUGUGCCACCAUGACUUCCACCUGCCUUGCUUCCACAUUGUUGCUGCCUCCUCCUCCAAGCUGUAGAUUCCACCAGUAGAAAAGCACUGAAAAACCAGUAUUUAGGACAUGAUUCCUCCAUGCUACUCAGGUCCUUAUCUCAUUUGAGUGGAUACAGGAGUCUUCUAACAGCUACAUUUCUGCCAGCAGAGCUCUGUAAGAGCUUGCCUGUCUGCUGCUUUGGUUUGAACUCUGAAGGGCUGAGUUCCUUGUUGCUCAUCCCACACCUACAUCAGGCCAGAUUUCCCAACCAGGAAUUUUCUUUUUCAGAUCUUACUGGCCCCAAACAGGUGCAUGUUUCCAGGUCUCACACCUUUGCAAGGACAGCAACCCCUCUGGUUGCUGAGGUAUAGAACAAGGCUAAAAGUCUCCACUUCCCUGUGUUAUAUCUACUGCUUGGUUUUCCAAAGAAUGCAACUGAGAUCAAUUAUAAAGCACUACAUUAAAACCAUUUUUCAGUACAAAAAAAAAAGUUUGUAUUUUUGUUGCUGUUUUGUAAAGACAAAAAGCUUCAGUGCACAAAGGGCAACACAGCAUUCAGAAGACAGAAGUGACUUGUCAUAACCUCCACAUAAUCUAACUGGGAAUUGCAUUUGCCCAGAAAUCAAUAAGUUUCUAUCUUUUGAGAAAAAUUAACCUGCCAGUGCCAUCCUGGAUAAGGGCACUAACCAAAAGGUGGUUCCUCCACAGACAAGAGCUGUCUCCUCACCUGAAUUCCCUGGGAAUGAAAGGACAGACUUCUCAUGUUUUUUUCUUUAAAAUGCUCCUUCAGCACCAAAGUUCUGUGCCUGAGGCUGUUUGCUGUUUAUGAGCCACUGAUUCAGGUAGAGGAUUCCUGCUGCUUCUAUUUCUCUUAAAAGCAACUUUUAAUUUUCUGUGUGCCUAUACAGAGUCAUAACAGCUCCCAAAUAGCUAAACUGCUUUAUAUCAAAGUAAUUUUGCAGAAGACAAUACAAGUCAUCAAUUCAUUUUGAUAUGAGGCCACCAAGAUGUCAAGAUGUGAAUUCAUAGAGGAACAAGGAUGAGAUGUGAGCAGGUCCUCCACAUCUCUGAGGAACAGGAUAAUAUUGCUGGAGCUGUCAGAGGCAAGUUUAGACCCCAGGUCACAGAAUCCCAGCUCCAUGUGGUUACACCAGGACCAACAAAGAGGAGGUGGCACUAUGUGUGCUCAUGGUGGCCCAUGAACACCCCUGGUUAUUUCCAGACACCUUGUGCUGACUCUGGGAAACAAACCCCUGCUGAAUUUUAUACUCUUUCUGCACCUCUGUCAGACAUAACAAGAGGAGAAAUCUGUCACCUCUAAUUCAUCUCUUCCACAUUUCUCACCUUCUCAUGUGACAAUUUGCCAUCAGCAGCCCCCAUGAGGGCAAAAACUCCAACUCUUUCCUUGCUUGGCUUAAACAAAGAUAAUGUAUAAAUGUUACUGCAUGUGUGUUGGGGAUGGUUAUAUUUCAGGAUCAGGCUCUCCAUUCAAUUCUCCUAUUUGCACACUGCCAGCUCACUCUUCCUAAGGCUGGUAACUAGAGCUAGACCUCGCUGUGCAGCCCUGCAGGGAACAGCCAUGGUUGUUCUCAGCUGUGCAUGCUCUGUUGUUUCUGAAUACUAACUCCGGGGGGAAAUAACGUAAUUACCUACCACUCACACUCCCUCCAGUUGAAAACAGGUUUGGAUGGACAAUCACACAAUUGUCUAUAUUCAUGUAAACAAAGGGGAAGCCAGGGGGUGAGUUAUCUUUCUCCUCCUCAGGCCUGAAAUCUGUGGCUGAAGGAUACACACAGUCAUGGGAAAAGAGCCAGUAGAUUAAAAGGAAGAAUGCACACUGCAGGCAGCAGCUUUCUGACUGUCUCAACAGGGAGGGACCACCCUAGUGCUGCUGAGAUGGAGGAAUUCCCCUGGUGAUUCUAGCAAGGGCUCAGGAAAAUGAUGGUAGAUUGAAAACAGUUCAUGUUGCUUCAGGGAGAGAUGAUUUUUUUUUACUUUUAAAGCUCUCCUCUGAAAUGCAGGGUAGCAGCAAGAGCAGGGUUGGAUACCAGGGAAGAGGUGGAAUGGCUCUGAUGUUGACCUACCUAGAUCAGGUUGAACCUGGAUCAUCAUGUACACACUGACACUGAGAUCAUGCCCCAUGGUUCCUGCAUCCUCCCUCACCAAAUGAGGUGUGAAUAUGUGCUUGGUAUCUGCAGCAGUUACUGAUGGCCUUCAAACUGCAAGUUUGGCACCAGUUGGGCACCAUUUCUGCUGGCAAGGAUGUGCAGGCAUCUCCAGCGUUCUCCAGAGACCAGGCAAUGGCUCCUGUCCUAGCAGAUGUCUGUGCAUCAGCAGUAUGGACCUGGUCUACCCUGACAAUGGGGCAUCCUUCCGAAGAGAAGCUGCUCUGCAUUUUCCCCCUAAUCCUCUGAUUUAUGGUGCUGGGCUUACCUCAUUCCCAUAGGAACUACUGCACUGAAGGAACUCAGAAGAUUUCCUACCAACCACUGCCAACAGUUUCUGGCAGCAAAUGUCUCUUCGUAGUGAGCAAAAAGGGCAAGGUGAAGGACCCCUGAAAAAAACACUGGUGCUACAGACCAAGAACCAAGUACCUUAGUGAAGGAUGAAUUCACAUGAAGUCAGGAACCUUCAUCUGAGCAUCAGCUGGAGCAAAUGUAUAGUUUGCAUGAAAUGUGUAUUGUGUGGCUGGCAUAAAAUAAAGCUGAUUAUGAGAGCUGAA
This is a non-coding RNA of Taeniopygia guttata (zebra finch), 3413 nucleotides long. The record is from RefSeq and is a predicted model, not a curated record. NCBI's taxonomy places the organism in Eukaryota, Metazoa, Chordata, Aves, Passeriformes, Estrildidae.